Molecule: transfer RNA, 73 nt
Filed under: Bos taurus (domestic cattle)
Lineage: Eukaryota; Metazoa; Chordata; Mammalia; Artiodactyla; Bovidae
Also listed under: 1 other name
Rfam family: tRNA
About the family: Transfer RNA (tRNA) molecules are approximately 80 nucleotides in length.
Source: Rfam by way of RNAcentral
UCCCUGGUAGUCCAGUACGUAAGACUCUGUGCUCCCAAUACAGGGGGCCAGGGUUCGAUCCCUAGUCCGGGAA